RNAcentral lists this ribosomal RNA (497 nucleotides) under uncultured bacterium. RNAcentral describes it as "partial 16S ribosomal RNA". It matches the Rfam family "Bacterial small subunit ribosomal RNA", at positions 28 to 507 of the family's 1533-position model. The record is from RNAcentral.
GAUGAACGCUGGCGGCGUGCCUAAUACAUGCAAGUCGAGCGAACAGACGAGGAGCUUGCUCCUCUGACGUUAGCGGCGGACGGGUGAGUAACACGUGGAUAACCUACCUAUAAGACUGGGAUAACUUCGGGAAACCGGAGCUAAUACCGGAUAAUAUAUUGAACCGCAUGGUUCAAUAGUGAAAGACGGUUUUGCUGUCACUUAUAGAUGGAUCCGCGCCGCAUUAGCUAGUUGGUAAGGUAACGGCUUACCAAGGCAACGAUGCUUAGCCGACCUGAAGGGGUGAUCGGCCACACUGGAACUGAGACACGGUCCAGACUCCUACGGGAGGCAGCAGUAGGGAAUCUUCCGCAAUGGGCGAAAGCCUGACGGAGCAACGCCGCGUGAGUGAUGAAGGUCUUCGGAUCGUAAAACUCUGUUAUUAGGGAAGAACAAAUGUGUAAGUAACUAUGCACGUCUUGACGGUACCUAAUCAGAAAGCCACGGCUAACUACGUG